AGUGAACGCUGGCGGCGUGCUUAACACAUGCAAGUCGAACGAGAACGGAUUAUAGCUUGCUAUAAUUGUCAGCUAAGUGGCGCACGGGCGAGUAAUGUAUAGGUAAUAUGCCUCUUACUAAGGGAUAACAAAUGGAAACGUUUGCUAAUACCUUAUACUCCUUAUUAACAGAAGUUAAUAAGGGAAAGAUUUAUUGGUAAGAGAUUAGCCUGUAUUGUAUCAGUUAGUUGGUGGGGUAAUGGCUUACCAAGACUAUGACACAUAACUGGUUUGAGAGGAUGAUCAGUCACACUGGAACUGAGACACGGUCCAGACUCCUACGGGAGGCAGCAGUGGGGAAUAUUGCACAAUGGACGAAAGUCUGAUGCAGCAACGCCGCGUGGAGGAUGACACAUUUCUGUGCGUAAACUCCUUUUAUAUGAGAAGAUAAUGACGGUAUUAUAUGAAUAAGCACCGGCUAACUCCGUGCCAGCAGCCGCCGUAA
RNAcentral lists this ribosomal RNA (484 nucleotides) under uncultured bacterium. RNAcentral describes it as "partial 16S ribosomal RNA". It matches the Rfam family "Bacterial small subunit ribosomal RNA", at positions 29 to 523 of the family's 1533-position model. The record is from RNAcentral.